UCCGCGGUAGCUCAACGGUAGAGCGGAUGCCUGUUAAGCAUUAGGUUCCAGGUUCGAAUCCUGGCCGCGGAGCCA
This 75-nucleotide transfer RNA is filed under the name Candidatus Curtissbacteria bacterium. RNAcentral's name for it is "tRNA-Asn". It matches the Rfam family "tRNA". Rfam says of the family: Transfer RNA (tRNA) molecules are approximately 80 nucleotides in length. The record is from RNAcentral. Lineage: Bacteria; Candidatus Curtissiibacteriota.